This is a long non-coding RNA of Bolinopsis microptera, 1531 nucleotides long. RefSeq lists it as uncharacterized. The transcript is spliced from 4 exons. NCBI's taxonomy places the organism in Eukaryota, Metazoa, Ctenophora, Tentaculata, Lobata, Bolinopsidae. The record is from RefSeq and is a predicted model, not a curated record.
UGCGCGCAGUGUUGUGACCUCCCUUCGUCGUAUUUUACACAUAUUUGGACGUUGGCAAUUUAUUCCAUCGAUAAUUUUAAAGUUUUAACAUUUUUAUAUUAAAUUCUUUUUUAAUUUAGUUCUAAAACGAUUGAGCUUGCUUUCUGUGAAAAUUUAAUGUACUUUCGUAAAAUAAUUUUGAUGUGGCAGCGAUUUGAAAAGGAAAUUAGUUAAAAAUAAUACAAAAAAAUCGGACAUUUUUUGAUAUUAAAACAUGAAUAACUUGGGCUGUGUUGACAGUAGAAAAAUUUAUUAACCUCUAUCCGACAGCUUUAAAAUUUUUCUACGCGCCGCGCAAAUCCACGCGCGCAUUUUAGCGUGUCAAAAUCGUUUAAAACUAGAAUUAGUUGAUGAAGGAGCAUAAUGCAGAUCAUACGUUGUACGUGUGGCUUGAACAUUAUGAUUUCGCGCCAUUUCUUGUUUCUGCACUCGCUUUGAACUUUCAUGGCUUUAACAGCAGUUAUCGACUGACGACUUUGCUGUAUUACAUAGUGUACUUGGUACAUAAUUGAUCAACGAUAAUAGGAGGAACCCCUGCAAGCUUUAAAGGGCUCGUGUUACUUUAACAUCACUUUUGAAUUUCACGAAAGCAGAUAAAAGUUUUAGUGACGUUGCAGAAACUCCGGAAUACUGUGGAUUGGGAGGAGGAGAAAGUGAUAAUUCUGUUAUAUGGCCUGUUUCUAGGACACGAUAAACUUCCUAAUAAGUUAACAACUCUACCUCGAUUCGAUGCAGUGCACAGUGGGAAAGGUUGAAGUUGACGUUCAAGCAGUCACCCUGCCGAACAAGAAAUCUUUCAGGCCAAGAGGCUAGGUGACUAGAAACUCAAUCACUAUAUCCGUGAAACUUGUCGGGAGCACUGUUAUUUGUGGAGGUCGGACCGAAACUGUAAUCAGACACUAAACAUUGACGAGGACCAAUUACUCUACUCCUUCAAUGAUUAAUAAAGAUCGCUGAUUGCUUUUACUAAUGUAUAAUGUUAAAAUGAAAGAGAAACUAUCGAGACGAAAGAGAAAAAGGCACUCAUUUAUUUAUAGUUUUAUGUCUUAACAAUGAUAUUCGAAAGCUAAUUUUAAAAACUGGCUCUGAAUCCUUGCUAAAUGAUUUGGGAAGGUGUAAGGGCUUAAUAUGCCUGUAGACAUCAUUUUCAGUGGGUUUUAUGAAGUUUAUGAUUAGAGUAUAUUUUGGGACUGAAAUAAGCGCAAGACCUUCGACGUUUCUAUUCCUACUGUUUUUUUAAUUUAGCAAAUAUACAAACAAAUUUUAUACUGUCGUAAAGAUAAAAUAUUUAGUUAUCGGAUAGAGACUUGAAAAUUAAGUAUUACAAUAACCAAGCUAAAAUAUUCAAUGUUAAACUCAAAAAUUUUCACGCGUCUAUGAAGAAAUAUUUAGUUCUGCGCGUAGUUUUUUGGUCAAAUCUACGGCAAAUUUUCGCCAAUUUUGUUCAUAGUUUCAAAAUGUUAUUUAGUAGACAAAUUACUUUCGGACUACA